RNAcentral lists this ribosomal RNA (460 nucleotides) under uncultured bacterium. RNAcentral describes it as "partial 16S ribosomal RNA". It matches the Rfam family "Bacterial small subunit ribosomal RNA", at positions 338 to 795 of the family's 1533-position model. The record is from RNAcentral.
CCUACGGGAGGCAGCAGUGAGGAAUAUUGGUCAAUGGACGAGAGUCUGAACCAGCCAAGUAGCGUGAAGGAUGACUGCCCUAUGGGUUGUAAACUUCUUUUAUAUGGGAAUAAAACGUUCCACGUGUGGGAUUUUGUAUGUACCAUAUGAAUAAGGAUCGGCUAAUUCCGUGCCAGCAGCCGCGGUAAUACGGAGGAUCCGGGCGUUAUCCGGAUUUAUUGGGUUUAAAGGGAGCGUAGGUGGGUUGUUAAGUCAGUUGUGAAAGUUUGCGGCUCAACCGUAAAAGUGCAGUUGAAACUGGCAGUCUUGAGUACAGUAGAGGUGGGCGGAAUUCGUGGUGUAGCGGUGAAAUGCUUAGAUAUCACGAAGAACUCCGAUUGCGAAGGCAGUUCACUGGACUGCAACUGACACUGAGGCUCGAAAGUGUGGGUAUCAAACAGGAUUAGAUACCCGUGUAGUC